GGGUUAGUAAGUUGGUCAUGCCUUCGGUAUGUACUGGCUUUACUGAUUCCUCCUUCUUGACGAACCGUGAUGUCAUUAAUUUGGUGUUGCGGGAAAUCAGGACUGUUACUUUGAAAAAAUUUUAAGAGUGUUUAAAGCAGGCUAACGCUUGAAUACAUUAGCAUGGAAUAAUGAAAUAGGACGUUAAUCCUAUUUUGUUGGUUUCUAGGAUCGACGUAAUGA
This 222-nucleotide ribosomal RNA is filed under the name uncultured Glomeromycotina. RNAcentral's name for it is "partial 18S ribosomal RNA". The stretch from base 39 to 222 matches the Rfam family "Eukaryotic small subunit ribosomal RNA", at positions 685 to 868 of the family's 1831-position model. Lineage: Eukaryota; Fungi; Glomeromycota. The record is from RNAcentral.